UAUUUUAUUAAUUUGUAUGUGUAUUAAUGAAAUUGUGCAGAUGUCAGACCUGAUUACACGUCGUAGGGCGGUGACGACCACGCAGAGUUCGGCGCCCCCGACUCAGCCGACAUCUGCUGCCACUGCUCCAGCAUCUCCUGCCACUGCGCCAGCACUGAUGGACUACUUGGCAGUUGGACCCGCAGGGUCCCAGGGGCCUGCCUCAUCCGCGUCAUCAGUGGCGCAGCUUGUUAGUGCCAGGCGGCGUCAUCGGCCCGCCAACACCACCAACACCACAUCCAAUGAUGCGUCG
Molecule: long non-coding RNA, 292 nt
Filed under: Prunus persica (peach)
Lineage: Eukaryota; Viridiplantae; Streptophyta; Magnoliopsida; Rosales; Rosaceae
Description: long non-coding RNA (PPER_LNC006136)
Source: RNAcentral